This 433-nucleotide ribosomal RNA is filed under the name uncultured bacterium. RNAcentral's name for it is "partial 16S ribosomal RNA". It matches the Rfam family "Bacterial small subunit ribosomal RNA", at positions 29 to 507 of the family's 1533-position model. The record is from RNAcentral.
AACGAACGCUGGCGGCAUGCCUAACACAUGCAAGUCGAACGAGACCUUCGGGCUUAGUGGCGCACGGGUGCGUAAAGCGUGGGAACCUGCCUUUAGGUUCGGAAUAACUCCCCGAAAGGGGUGCUAAUACCGGAUAAUAUUUUCGGACAAAAGCUUUAUCGCCUUUGGAUGGGCCCGCGUUGGAUUAGCUAGUUGGUAGGGUAAAAGCCUGCCAAGGCGACGAUCCGUAGCUGGUUUGAGAGGAUGAUCAGCCACACUGGGACUGAGACACGGCCCAGACUCCUACGGGAGGCAGCGGUGGGGGAUAUUGGACAAUAGGCGUAAGCCUGAUCCAGCGAUGCCGCGUGAGUGAUGAAGGCCUUAGGGUUGUAUAUCUCUUUUACCCGAGAUUAUAGUGACAGUACCGGGAGAAGAAGCACCGGCUAACUCCGUG